RNAcentral lists this ribosomal RNA (1102 nucleotides) under uncultured organism. RNAcentral's name for it is "bacterial SSU rRNA". It matches the Rfam family "Bacterial small subunit ribosomal RNA", at positions 102 to 1238 of the family's 1533-position model. The record is from RNAcentral.
ACGGGUGAGUAACACGUAGAUAACCUGCCCUCAAGACGGGGACAACCGGUGGAAACAGCGGCUAAUACCCGAUAUGCUCACAGGAUCGGGAGAUCGAGUGAGGAAAGGCUUCGGUGCUUGAGGAGGGAUCUGCGGCCCAUCAGCUAGUUGGUGAGGUAACGGCUCACCAAGGCGAAGACGGGUAGGGGGUGUGAGAGCAUGGCCCCCCACAAUGGGACUGAGACACGGCCCAUACUCCUACGGGAGGCAGCAGCGGGGAAUAUUGCGCAAUGGACGGAAGUCAGACGCAGCGACGCCGCGUGGGUGAGGAAGGCCUUCGGGUUGUAAAGCCCUUUUCAGGGGAGCGAGAAAGGACGGUACCCUUGGAAUAAGCGUCGGCUAACUACGUGCCAGCAGCCGCGGUAAGACGUAGGACGCAAGCGUUAUCCGGAUUUACUGGGCGUAAAGCGCCUGUAGGCGGUCAAGUAAGUCGGAUGUGAAGGCCCCGUGCUCAACGCGGGGAAGCCAUUCGAUACUGCGUGACUAGAGAACGGCAGAGGGAAACGGAAUUUCUGGUGUAGCGGUAAAAUGCGCAGAGAUCAGAAAGAACACCGAUGGCGAAGGCAGUUUCCUAGGCCGCAUCUGACGCUGAGAGGCGAAAGCUAGGGGAGCAAACAGGAUUAGAGACCCUGGUAGUCCUAGCUGUAAACGAUGGAUGCUAGGUGUGGGCCGGAAAGGUCCGUGCCGUAGUUAACGCGAUAAGCAUCCCGCCUGGGGAGUACGGCCGCAAGGCUAAAACUCAAACGAAUUGACGGGGACCCGCACAAGCAGCGGAGCGUGUGGUUUAAUUCGAUGCUACACGCAGAACCUUACCUGGGCUUGACAUGUAGGUGGUAGUGAAGUGAAAGCGGAGCGACCCUUCGGGGAGCCUACACAGGUGCUGCAUGGCUGUCGUCAGCUCGUGCCGUGAGGUGUCGGGUUAAGUCCUGUAACGAGAGCAACCCUUUUCGUUAGUUACAAGUGUCUAAGGAGACUGCCGGUGACAAACCGGAGGAAGGUGGGGACGACGUCAAGUCAGCAUGGCCCUUAUGUCCAGGGAGACACACUCGCUUCAAUGGUGGGU